CCCCAGCCUCUGGUUGUCAUUAGCUGCUCCCGGGCGGGAGGUGGGUGCUGCAGCCAGCAAGGAUCCAGGCUCACGCGGGGCCACCUGGGCCUCAUUACUCUUAAGUGGUCGGGUCUGAGAGUGCCGGGGGGGGGGCCUGCCCCCACCACCUCUGGGCUAGCACCGUGGGGGCUUUGCCAGAGUGGAACUGAACUGGGUCCACCCCGGAGCCCAGAGGGCGGUGAAUGGGAGGCAGAGCCCAUCCUGGGAAUGGACCAGAAGAAAGGGAGCGGGGGUGGGGGAAGGGGCAUCAGAUCCUGGUCCUUCCUUGUCGCCUGCGGUCCCUCUGCCACCACUCCCCGAAGCUGAUCUGGAGCACACGCGUCGUUAAAGCCGCCAUCGAGGCCCCACUUCUGACAGACGGAAGGGGGCAGAGUGCCUUCCUCACCGGCCUCGCCCUGGGAAGGCCCUCCCUGCAGCCCAGGAAGCCAGCAGCAGGUGACAGAGCCAGGGGCCCAGGGCCCCAGGGACGGGCUCGCGCGCCCGAGCCGGGGGUCCCUUGGCGUCCCCAUCCUCUCGUCCUGGAGCCCUCCUGGGUGACCACAGGAAUGUGCAAGGCGGCAGCCGGGUGGCGGCCGGGAGGCGGGUGGGAGGCGGGCGGGGUGGCCUCUUCACGGGCGGGCCUGAGAGAUGGGCGCCCGUCCGGCCCUGGCGUCAUCGUCUCCGCGUCUCUACCCACUGAGCAAAGACACACGAAAUGAAGCUCGAACGAGCACAGCCAAAGAACGGCCGUUUCUGUCCUUUCUUCUUAAUCCCUUUGGCUUAGGGUUUCCCGGCCUGGACAGCCUGCCCAAGGGCACAUGGGCAUCCGUCCGGGGACAUUCAGGCAGUGACCAAUCCCAGGCCACCCAGGCUGCGCCCUGCGUCGUGGGCCAUUUCCCAGCCGGCCAGAGAUGGAGCAGCCACUGCGGGUCCCCGAGUCUCGGUGAGACAGUCAAGGAUGGACCUUGGAUGGAGACCGGCGUGCGGCCAUGUCCGUGGGUGAAGGAGGCGUGCAGGCCGUGCUGGGGGACAUGGUUGCUGUCCCCUCGGCCAAACCAUGAAAAGCAGCCCUCUCCCCCAACCCCCAGCACCAACCCGGAGACCACCCUCGGCCGGAGCCCAGCACGGCCACCGUCACGUCUCGGUCGUCCAGCUUGGGACAGGUCAGUUCCCAGACGUCCAGGCUGGAGCUGGUCCUUGAAGAUCCUAGGGGUCCAGCCCAGCACAGGAGGGCCAGCCCCCAAGGAGAAGAGGUGCUGAACUGGGUCCCCUGGAGGCUCCUGAGCCCCAGAACAGUGCCCUCUGAGCAGACGGGCACUCUCAGACCAGCUCACGCUGGACAAGUCAGCUCCUGCCUGCCGCCUGAUGGGCCCUUGGGAGAAGCAGACAUGGUGAGGAAAAGGCCCCUGUGCCCUUCACCCUAAUUCCCCAGCCCCAAGUCCCACUGGGUUGCCAGCUUCAACCUAAGCAAAUAAUUCGUGCCCUCUAAACAAACGCGCGGGAAUCCCACCUGCCCUUCCCCC
Molecule: long non-coding RNA, 1544 nt
Filed under: Sus scrofa (pig)
Lineage: Eukaryota; Metazoa; Chordata; Mammalia; Artiodactyla; Suidae
Description: lncRNA (ENSSSCG00015004136.1)
Source: RNAcentral